UCCUCAAAGUGCACUCUCAAGCAAGUGUUG
This 30-nucleotide non-coding RNA is filed under the name Mus musculus (house mouse). The record is from RNAcentral. Lineage: Eukaryota; Metazoa; Chordata; Mammalia; Rodentia; Muridae.